RNAcentral lists this ribosomal RNA (510 nucleotides) under uncultured bacterium. RNAcentral describes it as "partial 16S ribosomal RNA". It matches the Rfam family "Bacterial small subunit ribosomal RNA", at positions 28 to 507 of the family's 1533-position model. The record is from RNAcentral.
GACGAACGCUGGCGGCGUGCUUAACACAUGCAAGUCGAACGAAGAGCGAUGGACGCUUGCUUCUAUCAAUCUUAGUGGCGAACGGGUGAGUAACGCGUAAUCAACCUGCCCUUCAGAGGGGGACAACAGUUGGAAACGACUGCUAAUACCGCAUACGAUCUAAUCUCGGCAUCGAGGAUAGAUGAAAGGUGGCCUCUACAUGUAAGCUAUCACUGAAGGAGGGGAUUGCGUCUGAUUAGCUAGUUGGAGGGGUAACGGCCCACCAAGGCGAUGAUCAGUAGCCGGUCUGAGAGGAUGAACGGCCACAUUGGGACUGAGACACGGCCCAGACUCCUACGGGAGGCAGCAGUGGGGAAUCUUCCGCAAUGGACGAAAGUCUGACGGAGCAACGCCGCGUGAGUGAGGGCGGCCUUCGGGUUGUAAAGCUCUGUUAAUCGGGACGAAAGGCCUUCUUGCGAAUAGUGAGAAGGAUUGACGGUACCGGAAGAGAAAGCCACGGCUAACUACGUG